GUGAAGAUGCAGUGUACCCGCGGCAAGACGGAAAGACCCCGUGAACCUUUACUAUAGCUUGACACUGAACAUUGAGCCUUGAUGUGUAGGAUAGGUGGGAGGCUUUGAAGCGUGGACGCCAGUCUGCAUGGAGCCGACCUUGAAAUACCACCCUUUAAUGUUUGAUGUUCUAACGUGGACCCGUGAUCCGGGUUGCGGACAGUGUCUGGUGGGUAGUUUGACUGGGGCGGUCUCCUCC
Molecule: ribosomal RNA, 238 nt
Filed under: Salmonella enterica subsp. enterica serovar Paratyphi B var. L(+) tartrate +
Lineage: Bacteria; Pseudomonadati; Pseudomonadota; Gammaproteobacteria; Enterobacterales; Enterobacteriaceae
Description: partial 23S ribosomal RNA
Rfam family: Bacterial large subunit ribosomal RNA
Source: RNAcentral